CCUACGGGAGGCUGCAGUGGGGAAUAUUGCACAAUGGGGGGAACCCUGAUGCAGCGACGCCGCGUGGGUGAAGGAGUAUUUCGGUAUGUAAAGCCCUAUCAGCAGGGAAGAACAAUGACGGUACCUGACUAAGAAGCACCGGCUAAAUACGUGCCAGCAGCCGCGGUAAUACGUAUGGUGCAAGCGUUAUCCGGAUUUACUGGGUGUAAAGGGAGCGUAGACGGCGAAGAAAGUCUGAAGUGAAAGCCCGCGGCUCAACCGCGGAACUGCUUUGGAAACUUUUUUGCUGGAGUACCGGAGAGGGAAGCGGAAUUUCUAGUGUAGCGGUGAAAUGCGUAGAUAUUAGGAGGAACACCAGGGGCGAAGGCGGCUUACUGGACGGUAACUGACGUUGAGGCUCGAAAGCGUGGGGAGCAAACAGGAUUAGAUACCCUUGUAGUC
Molecule: ribosomal RNA, 441 nt
Filed under: uncultured bacterium
Lineage: Bacteria
Description: partial 16S ribosomal RNA
Rfam family: Bacterial small subunit ribosomal RNA
Source: RNAcentral